This 1044-nucleotide long non-coding RNA is filed under the name Hordeum vulgare. RNAcentral's name for it is "long non-coding RNA (HVUL_LNC008233)". The record is from RNAcentral. Lineage: Eukaryota; Viridiplantae; Streptophyta; Magnoliopsida; Poales; Poaceae.
AUGGAUGCAUGGUUUGUUGCCGAACGCCCGUGCAUGCGUGGCCCCUGGCUUCCUCCCUCCCUUCUAUAAAGGCCAGCCCCUCCGUCGCUCACCGGCACUCCACACUUCCACAGACUGAUCAACAAUGAUCUAGCAGCAGCAGCAGCAGCUUGCCAUCGAGCUGGGACGCGACACGUACGCGUAGCUAGCCGCUCACGUCUAUCUUGCUACCUAGCUUGCCAACUGACGGUGCAGUGCUAUGACGUCGCGCCACCGGCGGCAGCCGUCGCGCGCGCUGCCUGUGGACUUUGACGCCGUCGACGUCGGCGAUGAGCCCGUGGGAGGCGCCACAUCCAAGGGCGCGGCGCCGACGCGCGGCCCCGGUGCCGGCGGCCGUAGCGAUGGCGCCAAAGCUGCGGGGCAGGAAGGCCCUGCCAAGAAGCUGCCUCCGGCCGCUGGCGGCGGCCGCUCGCCGACGGCGGAGGGGGCCGGGAAGGGGCCGUGCGACGGCGGCAACAGUAGCGCCUAGGCAGGUGGCCGCACGUUGCCGGCACAUGGCACUCGGACGUUGUUCGAUCUGCCCGAAAUGAAAAGUACGGCGUAGCUUGGCCGUGCUCUGUCUUUUGCCCGACGAUCUCUACAAUGUUUGGGAGUCCAGUCCAGUCCAGUAUGUGAUCCCUAGCUACUACUCAGUGUUUAUCUAUGUUCGUUCGUGUGGAGAGCUCCCAUCCACUGUACGUACCUCUGCUGGCUAAUCUGUAUCAAGUGUACAAACGUGCUAGUAUUUUUGCAUAAUGCAAAUACCGUAAGCAAUAAGUCCUCCGUGCCGUGUUGUGCCUCUGAUCAGUGAUCACCGACUAAAUAAAACCCGGAGUUCUUCCAUAAGCUGUGAUUUCAACUUUGCACAGAUUAUUUUCUGCUCAUGGCAUUGUAUCAGAACGGAUAUGAGAAAAUGCAUGCAAGAUGAACGUGGGUGGACAGGGACGGACACACAUUAUCGUUUUCGCCGAGACAGCGCGCGUGCGUCCCUGCAAUGUGGGCUGCCCAAUUGUAAGCCACCAUCAG